AUAGCGUAUAUUAAAGUUGUUGCAGUUAAAAAGCUCGUAGUUGAACCUUGGGCCUGGCUGGCCGGUCCGCCUCACCGCGUGCACUGGUCCGGCCGGGCCUUUCCUUCUGAGGAGCCGCAUGCCCUUCACUGGGUGUGUCGGGGAAUCAGGACUUUUACUUUGAAAAAAUUAGAGUGUUCAAAGCAGGCCUAUGCUCGAAUACAUUAGCAUGGAAUAAUAGAAUAGGACUUUGGUUCUAUUUUGUUGGUUUCUAGGACCGAAGUAAUGAUUAAUAGGGAUAGUUGGGGGCAUUAGUAUUUAAUUGUCAGAGGUGAAAUUCUUGGAUUUAUUAAAGACUAACUUCUG
RNAcentral lists this ribosomal RNA (345 nucleotides) under uncultured eukaryote. RNAcentral describes it as "SSU rRNA". It matches the Rfam family "Eukaryotic small subunit ribosomal RNA", at positions 594 to 945 of the family's 1831-position model. The record is from RNAcentral.